GGUGGUAUAGCUCAGUGGUAGAGCGGAUUCUUGGUGUGCAUGAGGUUCUGGGUUCAAUCCCCAGUGCCUCCA
RNAcentral lists this transfer RNA (72 nucleotides) under Camelus bactrianus (Bactrian camel). It matches the Rfam family "tRNA". From Rfam's summary of the family: Transfer RNA (tRNA) molecules are approximately 80 nucleotides in length. Their secondary structure includes four short double-helical elements and three loops (D, anti-codon, and T loops). Further hydrogen bonds mediate the characteristic L-shaped molecular structure. tRNAs have two regions of fundamental functional importance: the anti-codon, which is responsible for specific mRNA codon recognition, and the 3' end, to which the tRNAs corresponding amino acid is attached (by aminoacyl-tRNA synthetases). tRNAs cope with the degeneracy of the genetic code in two manners: having more than one tRNA (with a specific anti-codon) for a particular amino acid; and 'wobble' base-pairing, i.e. permitting non-standard base-pairing at the 3rd anti-codon position. Lineage: Eukaryota; Metazoa; Chordata; Mammalia; Artiodactyla; Camelidae. The record is from Rfam by way of RNAcentral. RNAcentral also lists the same sequence under 2 other names.